This 187-nucleotide non-coding RNA is filed under the name bovine gut metagenome. The record is from RNAcentral.
CUAUGGUCCGCCCAGGCGGACAAUAGGGAACCGUGUGAGAAUCACGGGCUGACGCGCAACUGUAAGCCUCACCGUCGGACGUCCGAAAAGCGGGAAGACGGAAGGGCUGCCGCACUAAGCCAUUGGGUCCUCCGGAGACCUGAGAAGGCGCGGCCGCCGGAGGCGAGCCAGGAGACCUGCCAUGGCC